AAUGAACGUUGGCGGCGUGGAUUAGGCAUGCAAGUCGAGCGAGAAGGGGUCUCUCAUUUUUGGCUGAAAGCUGAUCGCUGAAGCUGACAGCCUAAAAUGAGGGACCCCCCAAAGCGGCGAAAGGGAGAGUAACGCGUAGUUACGUGCCCCAGGGUUCGGAAUAGCCACGGGAAACUGUGGGUAAUGCCGAAUAACAUCUCCGGAUCAAAGGUGUGAUUCCGCCCUGGGAGCGGACUGCGUCCUACUAGCUAGUUGGCGGGGUAAUGGCCCACCAAGGCAACGAUGGGUAGCGGGUGUGAGAGCAUGACCCGUCUCACUGGGACUGAGACACUGCCCAGACACCUACGGGUGGCUGCAGUCGAGAAUCUUCGGCAAUGGGCGAAAGCCUGACCGAGCGACGCCGCGUGUGGGAUGAAGGCCCUCGGGUUGUAAACCACUGUCGUAGGGGAGGAAGGCUCCGUGAAGAGCGGGGUUUGACCUAUCCUAGGAGGAAGUACGGGCUAAGUUCGUGCCAGCAGCCGCC
RNAcentral lists this ribosomal RNA (523 nucleotides) under uncultured bacterium. Its description in RNAcentral is "bacterial SSU rRNA". It matches the Rfam family "Bacterial small subunit ribosomal RNA", at positions 29 to 519 of the family's 1533-position model. The record is from RNAcentral.